RNAcentral lists this ribosomal RNA (254 nucleotides) under uncultured bacterium. Its description in RNAcentral is "partial 16S ribosomal RNA". It matches the Rfam family "Bacterial small subunit ribosomal RNA", at positions 524 to 776 of the family's 1533-position model. The record is from RNAcentral.
UACGGGGGGGGCAAGCGUUGUUCGGAUUUACUGGGCGUAAAGGGCGCGUAGGCGGCCACCGCAAGUCGGUUGUGAAAUCUCUGGGCUUAACCCAGAAAGGUCAACCGAUACUGCGGGGCUAGAGUGCAGAAGGGGCAACUGGAAUUCUCGGUGUAGCGGUGAAAUGCGUAGAUAUCGAGAGGAACACCUGCGGCGAAGGCGGGUUGCUGGGCUGACACUGACGCUGAAGCGCGAAAGCUAGGGGAGCAAACGGG